Rosa chinensis is the source of this 3143-nucleotide RNA transcript. It is a transcript of the gene named glutamate receptor 2.9, with no coding region annotated. The transcript has 4 exons. The record is from RefSeq and is a predicted model, not a curated record. Lineage: Eukaryota; Viridiplantae; Streptophyta; Magnoliopsida; Rosales; Rosaceae.
ACAGGUUCUGUAAUAUGAAGCUGUGCUGGGAAAAAAAAAAAACCAAUGGCUAUUCCUUGUAUCAAUUCCUCUAACAAAAUCCAAGGACUUUGGCUCCUGCUUCCUCUGCUCAUCAUCAUCACCUUGAUCACUCUCUCAGAUGUUGCUGAAGCUGAAAAUGAGAAAAUUAUCAUCAAUGUUGGAGCAAUCGUUAAUAUGCAUACUCGUAUGGGUAAAGAACAGAAAACUGCUAUGGAUAUUGCAGCGGACAGCUUCAGCAGCCUUUCAAAGACUCAUAGCCUUAUCCUUCAUUUUCGACAUUCUGACAGAGAUCCCUUAAAAGCUGCAUCUGCUGGUAAAUAAAUACAUCAUAAUAUAGAAAUAAGUCAUGCCAAUGUAAAUAGUUCAUACAUAGUACUAAUGGAAUUCGUUUAAUUUUGCGAAAGAGUUGAUAAACGAUAAGAAGGUAAAACUGAUAAUUGGCAUGGAGACUUGGCAGGAAGCAGCUCUAGUAGCUGAUGUGGGGAACCGAGCUCAAGUUCCGGUGAUUUCAUUUGCAGCACCUACUAUAAACCCACCUCUAAUACAACAUGACUGGCCAUUUUUGAUACGAGUGGCAAGCGAUCGUGCUGCUCAGAUGAAAUGCAUCACAGAUGUAGUGUCUUUGUACACUUGGAAAAGGGUUAUUGUUAUAUACCAGGAUGACGGUUAUGGUGGUGAUGCUGGGAUGCUAGCUGUUUUAUCUGAGGCUCUCCAAAACGUUGGCUCAAAGAUUGAGCAUCAUUUGGUUCUCCCACGGGUUUCUUCCUUGUCUAAUCCUAGUUGGGGUGAACUAGAAGAGAUCUUGAAGCUUCCCACCUUUCAAUCUCGGGUGUUCAUUGUUCUCCAGUUGUCUUUCCCAGCAGUCACUAAUCUAUUCAGGGUGGCAAAAAAGAUGGGACUUGUAGGAAGAGACUCAGCUUGGAUAAUCACAGAGAGUAUUACAAGUUUGCUCGACUCUCAAGUCAAUCAUGAUAUGGUAGGUACUUUGGGAAUCAAGUCCUACUAUGCCAAUAAUACUAGUUCCUAUGCUAAGUUUGUAGAGGUAUUCCAAACAAGAUUUCCAGAAGAAGAUAAUUCCAAGCCAGGAAUUUAUGCUCUUCGAGCAUACGAUCUUAUUAUGAUCGUAUCACAGGCCAUAAGGAACACUACUAACAGUACUAACCUUCAGGUGUUGUUAAAUACAGUAUUGAACAAUUAUACGUGUUUAAGUGGCAAAAUGCACUUCAAAAGAGGUGAAGUAUUGUACACUCCAAUAUUCAGGAUCAUAAAUAUUGUGGAAGGGAACAGACACAAAGAAUUGGACCUUUGGAGACCAGAGGUUGGGUUCUCACAGAGCCUUUCAAAAGAGACAAGCAAAAACAGAAGUGAUGAUGUUCGUACGGUAGUUUGGCCCGGCAACCUAACUGAACGAGCCCCUAAAGGCUGGGGGGCCCACUGCAAGAAAGCCCUUGAGAAUUGUGGUUCCAGGUAGAACUUCCUUCCGUGCAUUUGUAAAGGUUGAUGAAAGGAAGAACACACUGCACUAUGACGGUUUCUGCAUUCAAAUUUUUAACAAGGUGAUAAGUCGCUUGGGCUAUCCUCUGCCAUAUGAGCCCCAUGCCGUUAAUGCCUCCUAUGAUGAUAUGGUAGAACAAGUUCAUAACAAGACUUUUGAUGCUGGUGUUGGAGAUUUCACCGUACUAGCAGACCGAUUGGACAAAGUGGAAUUCACUCAGCCCUAUAUUGAGUCUGGUUUGUCAAUGAUAGUUCAAGAAAAAAAUGAGCAAUUAACAUGGAUGUUUAUAAAACCUCUUACCUGGGAAAUGUGGGCGGCGAGUGGUGGCGUAUUAGUCUACACAAUGUUGAUUAUAUGGUUUCUGGAGCGCCCGUCUAAUCCAGAAUUCAGUGGUCCAUUGAAGAAUCAGAUUGGCACCGCAACUUGGUUUGCCUUCACCUCUUUGUUCUUUUCUCACAUCACAAUGGUUUUAUGUUGCAGGAGAGAAAAUCCAUAACAACUUAACUCGAGUAGUUGUUGUAAUGUGGCUGUUUGUUGUAUUAAUCCUAACCUCAAGCUACACUGCUAAUUUGUCGUCAAUGCUCACCAUCCAACGAUUGAAACCAAAUGUAACAGACAUCGAAAUGCUAAAGAGAACCAACUCAAAGGUUGGCUUGGAUGGGGAUUCAUUUGUCGUAACUUACAUGGAGAGAGUACUUCAAUUCAAUUCACAGAACAUCAUCACAAUAAGCAAUGAAUUCAACUACACAGAGGCAUUUAAAAACGGAAGUAUAUCUGCUGCCUUUCUUGAACUCCCAUAUGCUAAAGUAUUCAUGAACCACUACUGCAAGGGAUAUACUGCGACCACACCCACCUUUAGAUUUGGAGGACUAGGCUUUAUAUUUCAGAAAUGCUCUCCAAUUGCCCGGGAUUUCACCAAGGCCAUUCUAGAGUUAUUGGAGGAUGGAGAACUGAAGUCACUUGAAGAUACUUGGUUGACACCAAAUCGUGACUGUCCAAAUAAUGCAAGUUCUGAUGUUCCAGAUAGCUUGAGCGUCAAGAAUUUUAUGGGCCUUUACGUAAUAUCCAGCGCUACUUCUACCAUUUGCCUUCUAUUAUCCUUCACUAUCUUGCUGAAGAAGUUUCAACAACACGAGGAUGCAUACCUAGGCAAUGCAAGUGAUGAAAGUGUUUGGAACAGGACAGUUAGAAAAGCAAGAUUCCUAUAUAAUAAAGAGUUCAAUGUUCCAAGCAGAGCUCCAAGUAUUGUUGAUGUGCCAGAAUUGACUUCUUCCCAAGGGGAGCAUGUGAUCACUUCCACCCCUCAGGAGCAUCAACUUCAGGCCUCCACCCCCGCACAAACUGAAAGCGGUCCACUACAUUAAUAAAUGGCACAUUGGCAUCUUCUGUUAGGAUUGUAUUAUGGUUGCAAUCCUUGGUUAAUUUCUGUUGAUUUUGUAAUAAGCAAUUAGGAUAAUUAGCAUCUGUUAAUUGCUAAUCAUUAGUGCUCCACAGCUGUCUUAACGCGUGUCAAGCCGAGGUGCUCUUAUUCUGCCACUAUAUAAAGUUAUAAACCCUUCUGUGUACUAGUUCAAUUCAGUUAGCAUCAUUUUCAGAUAUUUUCCUUCGUCUUUUUUGUUGUAAAUGA